RNAcentral lists this unclassified non-coding RNA (210 nucleotides) under Hevea brasiliensis (rubber tree). The record is from RNAcentral. Lineage: Eukaryota; Viridiplantae; Streptophyta; Magnoliopsida; Malpighiales; Euphorbiaceae.
CUUUGGUCUCUUUUGGUUUUGGUGGAAAACUGAUUGUGAUGAAAGAUCAGAGUUCUUUUGGGAACUCAUCGUUUGGAAGUCAGAAUCCUGUAGGAGGUUCAAUAUCUGUGCUCAGUUUGAUGGAUGUUGUGUCUGAGAGAGUUGAUAGUUCAAGUGUUGUGAUGGGAUCAUGUGACUAUACUCGAGCUUUGUGCCAACAAUCAUUCCCUG